GAUGAACGCUGGCGGCGUGCCUAAUACAUGCAAGUCGAGCGAACGGACGAGAAGCUUGCUUCUCUGAUGUUAGCGGCGGACGGGUGAGUAACACGUGGAUAACCUACCUAUAAGACUGGGAUAACUUCGGGAAACCGGAGCUAAUACCGGAUAAUAUUUUGAACCGCAUGGUUCAAAAGUGAAAGACGGUCUUGCUGUCACUUAUAGAUGGAUCCGCGCUGCAUUAGCUAGUUGGUAUGGUAACGGCUUACCAAGGCAACGAUGCAUAGCCGACCUGAGAGGGUGAUCGCCCACACUGGAACUGAGACACGGUCCAGACUCCUACGGGAGGCAGCAGUAGGGAAUCUUCCGCAAUGGGCGAAAGCCUGACGGAGCAACGCCGCGUGAGUGAUGAAGGUCUUCGGAUCGUAAAACUCUGUUAUUAGGGAAGAACAUAUGUGUAAGUAACUGUGCACAUCUUGACGGUACCUAAUCAGAAAGCCACGGCUAACUACGUG
RNAcentral lists this ribosomal RNA (497 nucleotides) under uncultured bacterium. RNAcentral describes it as "partial 16S ribosomal RNA". It matches the Rfam family "Bacterial small subunit ribosomal RNA", at positions 28 to 507 of the family's 1533-position model. The record is from RNAcentral.